Molecule: non-coding RNA, 74 nt
Organism: Sus scrofa (pig)
Lineage: Eukaryota; Metazoa; Chordata; Mammalia; Artiodactyla; Suidae
Source: Rfam
UCCCUGGCAGCCUAGUGGUUAAGGAUCCAGCAUUGUCACUGCUGUGGCGUGGGUUCCAACCCUGGCCCUGGGAA